This 433-nucleotide ribosomal RNA is filed under the name uncultured bacterium. RNAcentral's name for it is "partial 16S ribosomal RNA". It matches the Rfam family "Bacterial small subunit ribosomal RNA", at positions 29 to 507 of the family's 1533-position model. The record is from RNAcentral.
AACGAACGCUGGCAGCAUGCCUAACACAUGCAAGUCGAACGAGACCUUCGUGUCUAGUGGCGCCCGGGUUCGUAACGCGUUGGAUCCUGCCCUUAGGUUCGGCAUAACUCCCCGAAAUGGGUGCUAAUACCGGUUAAUGUCUUCGGACCAAAGAUUUAUCGCCUUUGGAUGGUCCCGCGUUGGUUUAGCUUGUUGGUAGGGUAAAAGCGUACCAAGGCGACGUUCCAUAGAUGGUCUGAGAGGAUGAUCAGCCACACUGGGACUGAGAAACGGACCAGACUGCUACGGGAGGGAGCAAUGGGGAAUAGUGGAAAAUGGGCGAAAGCAGGAACGAGCAAUGGGGGGUGAGUGAUGAAGGCGUGAGGGUUGUAAAGCUCAGUUACCAGGGAUGAUAAUGACAGUACCGGGAGAAGAAGCACCGGCUAACUACGUG